UAUUUUGUAGCCACUUUUGAGUUACGAUAAUUAUUAUAUUAGUUUACAAGUAAGUGGUUUACUGUAACAUUACGGUAAAUAUCCACAUGUGUUAUAGUAACCCAACUAUCGUAAAUAUGUAUAUACAAAUUAACAUAAAUUAGUAUAUAAAAUUAUCGUAGAUGGAGGUGGCUACAGAAUA
Molecule: microRNA precursor, 181 nt
Filed under: Sorghum bicolor (sorghum)
Lineage: Eukaryota; Viridiplantae; Streptophyta; Magnoliopsida; Poales; Poaceae
Description: MIR6217 microRNA precursor family
Rfam family: MIR6217 microRNA precursor family
Source: Rfam by way of RNAcentral